GCGGGAAUAGCUCAGUGGUAGAGCAUCACCUUGCCAAGGUGGGGGUCGCGGGUUCAAAUCCCGUUUCCCGCU
This 72-nucleotide transfer RNA is filed under the name Deltaproteobacteria bacterium. RNAcentral describes it as "tRNA-Gly". It matches the Rfam family "tRNA". Rfam says of the family: Transfer RNA (tRNA) molecules are approximately 80 nucleotides in length. Their secondary structure includes four short double-helical elements and three loops (D, anti-codon, and T loops). The record is from RNAcentral. Lineage: Bacteria; Pseudomonadati; Myxococcota; Myxococcia.